RNAcentral lists this long non-coding RNA (6850 nucleotides) under Selaginella moellendorffii. Its description in RNAcentral is "long non-coding RNA (SMOE_LNC001942)". The record is from RNAcentral. Lineage: Eukaryota; Viridiplantae; Streptophyta; Lycopodiopsida; Selaginellales; Selaginellaceae.
GCGGUCUCUCCUCCCAGCAUUGUGGAUCCUUCAUCGCAACACGAGGGCGCUGUUCGAUCCAACGCUGGUGGCCACUCCUAUUUACCUCCCUCUCAUGCAAGCGUCCAGGUUUUCAAGAUAGAUGGUCCUCGCUUCAUCAAGCUAAACGAAGGAACUUGGCACGCUGGUCCUCUCUUUGGUGAUCGAGAUUCGAUGGUCUUCUACAACUUGGAGCUCAGUGACACCAACGUAAGAUCAUUCGAUCGAGCUUGUAUGACUUAUGUUUUCUCCCUUUUUAUGUUCUUUUUAUUUGCAGGUUGUGGAUCACACUACCCACGUGUUUGAGGACGACGUACUGAUCGAAGAUUGAGGUACAGAGCCUUGGCAUUUCAUGUGAUAUUCGAACGUGAUUUUUGUGCUAGGUGAUGGCGAGCUUAAACACUUUUUUGCGUGUCUAGAAAAGCAAAUGGUGGAAAUGAAACAAGUUCUUUGCGAGCUAAGAAUUUCAUGUCCCUUGCCAUCAAGUUGUCGAGGAGCUCCUUUUGUGCCUCGGGACAUUGACUAGUAGUUACAAAAGGAGGCUGAUGAUCCUGGUCGGAAGAAAAUUUACGAACGGGAUGACUCCCACAGACCAUGGCGUCAACUCCCUGGUAUAAAUCUUUCUUAAUUGAACUGUAACACUGUUAGAAUUCUGUGCAGGGUGCUGAUUAUGGUCGAAAGCCGCCUGCUUUCUGUCGAACACGAGCGAGCGGAUGUUGAGAGUAUUCAUGUAAUUUGCCUCCUGCCAGUCCAGCUCGCUACUUCCGCCAAGAACUCGGGUUCCCUCAGUCAACAGCAAGAUGGAAAUGUUCCAGAAGUCUUUCUUCUUGAUGUCGGUCACAAACUCGAGCGGUGGAUGAUAUCCUUUGAAAGGUUUUGCUGCUCCUGAAACUUCUUGUAUUUCACCUCUUCGUGGUUCUGAUUCUAAUAAUGUAACUUUCGUGACAGCGGAAAAGUACGAACUCUAUGCUUGGAAAGUUUCAAAACAGCGUAGUGGUGACCACAAUUUCAGAAAGGAGAUCUUCUAUGAAGUAAAGGAAGCUUUAUUUUUCAUGUUGAUUCAUGUUUUCUUUCCUAUUUAGCGUUCUGUUAGUGAAUUACAAUUGCGUAAGCGAAGUUGCUGCGAGUUCGGAUCUCCUAUGAAGUAAGCUUCUUCUUCUUUGGAUGUUGAUUGAUUUUUUUCUUUCUUUUUUUAGAGUUUACGUGAGCAAGUUGCUGAAACUGAAUUUGUAUUUUCUUCUUUACAGCAUGACACAUUCGAGGUAUGAUUUUUGGUUUUUUUUUGGAAAAGGUGAAGCUACAGCCUAUGUAAGUUCAAUAGGGCGCUGUUGACGAGCUCCUCGAGGCUUCUGGAAUGCUUGGUAAGUCCCACAAAACCCGAAAACGUUAAGAAGUUUUCUUCGUCUGAGGCAGUCGCUGACAUUGCUUCCAGGGACGUCUCCAUUUCACCGUCUUCUCUAAAACGUCGCAAGAACCUGGCGUCCUUUGCCAUCAAGCUGUUCAGAAGCUCUACGCUAUAUCGCCGGAUACGAUUCAAGCUCCUAGAAGGUGCUGUCUGGGAUAGAAGCUCUGUGAUUUUUUCGCAAAGCCGUUGUUCAAAGUUACGUGUGUCGAGCCAGGGGAUUAUGGCUGCUGCCAAACCGAUGGCUGCCUGCUGUUCCUUGUCUGUGGAUUCCAGCACCAUCUGGAUGAUGGGAGAUAUGGCUGCUCCAAGCUCCAACUUUUCUUCGUCGUUAAGCUCACCGCACAAGCUUCGCAAAAUUGUGGCUGCAUGGACUCCAAUUGGCUUGGUGAGCAUGUUGAUCAAGCUCUUGAGGGUCUUGCUAACGCCACCUUGGCUGUAGCUUUUGCGCCUGAGGAGCCUCGAGCAAUUGUUGGGACACUGGAGGACGAGCAAAAAUAUGGCUUCCCCGGCUCUCAUGGCGAUGCUCAACUGGUGGCUGUUCGGUGCGGUUUCUCUCGCAAAUAUGGCCAUCAAGCUUUGGAUAACUCCUCCAGUUGCACCAAUGCAAUCUCUAAGCUCGUCCUCGGUUGCUAACAGCUUGAUCACGUCUACUGCCAGGUCCUGUAGCUCCAAAUCUUCGAGAUUGCAUAUCCUUUGAAGACUUCUUACUGCUGACACUACCGACACUAUCUUCUUUCGCAGAGACCGUCCAGAAUCUCCUCCCGCGCCAGCCAAUGUCCUCAAAAGCUCGAGUGAUCGACGGAAUACUUUUCUCGACGUUCGUACUUCGAGGAAGUUCCAGUCUUCGUCUUGGAUAAACGCAACCAGGAUGGAGAUAAGUCCGCUGGUGUUACCGAUUCGCACGCAUGUCCUGUGGUCCACGGCUAGCCUGUUGAGGAUAGCGAGUCCGUAUCUCUGUUCUUCUGGCACUAUCUUCUCUCCUGCGGUUAAAAGGGAAAUGAUGGCUUCCAGGGAUCCAGGGAUAGCGGAAAUCCUGAAGCAGUUACUCCGGUGACGAAGCAGGUACUUGAUUACUAUCGUUGCAGCUUUCCUGAUUUCGGCCUCACUAAGAUCCUUCCAGGUGAUCAUCUCUAAGAGUCUCUCCACAACUCCACAACUACACAGGAGGAAGAAAGAAAAGGUAGAGAAGAAAGUGAAGAAGAAUCAAUGAAGAAGACGAAGAAAGGAGCUAAUUACUUCUGUCCGUGAAGAUGAGUGGAGAGAGCAACUUCAAAGAGCUAAAACUUUCACAUGACAAACGGUCAGACGAGAAACUGGAGCACUAGUGCUGCGAUUCCAGAUUGAUCAAUGUUGUUUGACAACAAUGAUCUGACACACACAAGACUGUUUUCUUCGUCUCGGUAGCGCCCUUUCUACUGUUGCACAACAAACUAUUGCACAGCCGUGGAAGGGAAUAAUAGUAUAUAGAAACCUGUUGUAUCUCGUACUCUUGCUCUAUAAAUUCUCCAUAAACUUAAAGCUUCUUCUUCCAGGCCUAGAGAAAAGUCGGCUUCAAACACACGGCAUGGCCAUCUUUUUGUGUGUACUGUGCAGAACUCUCCCUUUCAACCAGGUCUUAUAGUUUGCCACUUACUAAGCUUAGGUGGUGGGAAAGAAAAAACUGGAGUAGUGAUGUUUCUAUCUUAUACUUAAGAACCUUGUGUUGGCUCGAGGAGUAGUACUACGAAGUGGUGUAACAAACGCAAAGCUUGGACAGGGCAGAUUGCUACUGAACACUAUUGCCAUUGCCACAAGCCUCAAAUUUGCAGGGCAAACUUUCUUUUCCUUCUUGUGAAUAUUACAAUUUUCUUUCAUUGUGCAAGAUAAAAAUUAAGUUAUACCUCCCAAUAUAUAGAUAUUUAUAUAUAAAAAACUUUUUAAUACAACUAAUUCAAUUACACAAAAUCUUUGUUUGCUUUUUUUGAUGACAUGCAUCAUAAACAUGCCCCUAAUUGAUCUUGUUGUACUCAUUAUCACCAUUUAAAUAGAUGAAUAUCAAAUCAUUUAAAGUUUCAAUAUUUAAAUAGCAUUUUGAAGUAGUUUUUAACUGAUUUUGAUAAGAAAAUCCACCUUCAGCACAAGUAGUGCUCACAGGUAUCAAAGAGAUAAUUUUGCAUAAUUCUAUCAAAUUAAAACAUAUAUCUAUCAUGGAAAUAUCAUCUCUGCAUAUUUGCCAAGCGACUAGCUUAUUUUUUGUUAACAGAUUACUUUGCAUAAUAGUUACAAACUUUGUGAAUUCUCCUUUACAUUUUUCCCCAUCAACAAAAGCACCAUAUUAGUUCAGUAAAAUAUUUAGCCAUUUGUAAAAGUUGUUAUCCAAUUUUUCCUUAUCAUUUGAAUAAUUCUUUGGGCUGAACAGUUUUGUAGUAUUAAAUAUGCCUAUAUCUUUUCCCAUUCUAGCUAACAUAUCAAUGUAUAGUUUUUGAACACACUCCUUAUUUAAAUUUAAGUAAGAGCUUAAGCUCCCAUCUCCUUUGCUCUCUAGAAUAGAAGUAUAAUUUAAGACAUGCUUAUGUUAUUCCUUUUCAGCAUUUAUAAACUUGAUAAAUUCAUCUUUAGUAACCUCCACAAAAUUACUCAAGUGUUUCACACUAAGAGUCUCUUUCAGAAAUUUUCUUUUGAUACUUUUCAAAGUACCAUAUAAUUACCCAACAAUGCUAGCAAUAUCCACAGUUUCAACUUUAAAAGAUUUUGUUCAAACUAUUUAAUUCCAGAAGUAUAUUAGGUAGCAUAUGAAUAAAUGAUCAAUCUUUUUAAAACUUCCCCAUGAAAUAAUCAACGUACACUGUGGAUUUGAAGCAUACCUAAUGUAAAUAUAUUUAUAGCAUCUUCUAGAGGCCUAAAAGCCAUGACUCUUUUUCUAAAAGUAUGCAACCAUUUAUAAAUUUGAUUGCAUAGCUUUUGAACAAUCAUAAGUUUAAAAAAUGCAUGCACAACUUCAAUAGCCACUAAACUUUAUUUAUGUGUUAAGUAAUGCACUCCAAGCAAGUGUGGAAUGUUAUGUUUCAAUAUUGUCACUAGACCAAAUUAUUUUCCAACCAUAAUAAAAGCUCCAUCAGUUUCAAUAACAACACAUUUUCCCUUUUUAAAGUUCAUUUCUUCCAAAACCUUUUUGAUGGCUUCAUAUUUAUUUACAACCUUUAGUUACCAUCAAUUUGAAAAAGUAAGUUUUAUUCAGACUUUUUUCUUUUUCUUGCAUAUGGAAAGAGAUGUAUAUGAUAAGAUGAGAUUCCAAACUUUUAUCAGUAUUGUUAUCCACCAUAAUAGAAAAGUAAGGACUAGCUCAAAUAUUUUGGCAAACAUCUUUCCAUCACAUAUCUUUUUUGCAUUUUACAAACUUUUUUCCACUCAUAGCAUUCAUAUAAGCCUUAUACUCUAUGGUGAUUGGCAUAUAGGGCAUUUCUAUAAACCUAUUAAAUUCACACAAAGAUUUAUAGCUUUGUAAAGGUAAUCCUUUAUUCACAAUGAAGUACAUGUGUUGCAUUAAGGAAAUCAAUUUAUUUUUGUGUUGAUCUUUUUGAGCAGUAAUAUAUUUAAGGAUAGAUAACCCUUUCUUUUUUCUUUACUUCCCAAAUAACUAUAGCUAAUUGAUGUUAUUUGGAAUUAUUAUGCUAUUUUAAAAUUGGUUUUUGAAAAGUCAAAGAACCAUCCUUACCAAAAAAAUUAUACUUUUUAGCAUAUACAUAUAUCAUACAUUUUAUUUUUUAAUUGCCUUCAACAUCUAUCACAAGAUACACCCAAGGAAAACUAAGUUUCCACUCAAUUCUGAAUGUUUUAUUCUUUUUCCUCUUUUUAUUGGUUGUAGUAUUAGUUUCUUUUUCUGUUGUUGAAAGAUCUUCAUCCUCUGAUCUAAUUUUAAAUCCUUCACCAAAAAGGGAAUUAUAAAGCUUUUGCCUUGCAAUAUUUUGUUAAUUUAUAUUUUUUUUUUCCCUCUCAUAGGCAAUAGCAAAAAAUGCUUCAAUCCUAUGUUGUUGCUGUCACUAUCGCUGCUUUCCCAUUUGCCCUAGUCCUAAUCCAUGUCAACUUCAUUGAAUUCAGGUGGUUAGACAUCAGGAUAUUUUUACAAUAUUUUUAAUAAUAUUAGAUAGAAUAUUAUCUAUACUGCAAUGUAAGAAUUUUCUUUGCCCUGCAAGUGGCAACUAAAAUAUUUCUAUACUUCAUUAGUACAAAGUGAAAAUUGAACAUUUCUUUCAAAUAGCAAGGCAAAUUAGAAAUCAGUCUUCAAAUGCAAGGUAAACAUGCCUUUGCAGGGCUUUGCAGGGCUUUGUAGGGUGGAAAUUUGAGGCCUACAUUGUCUCCCUAAAUGUGAUUUGGGUGCCAUAGUUCUAAAGAGAUUGUUGCUAUAGAAGAGCUUACAAGGAUGUUGAGAUAUUGCUGUAAGUUCCUUCAUGCACUUCACAGUGAUAGUAAAUGCCUUGUGAUGGCAUCUUAAACUCGUACCAUGGCAUCUGCAUUGCCAGUUCAAAGAUUAAAUGGCCCACAACCAAGAACAAAGUGAAGAAAAUGAGAAAACUCUAAGAAUGUUGCUGUCCCCUUAAGUUUCUCUGGCCAUAAAUUCGCUGCUACAAUAGCUUAUGUCCUUUCUACGCUUUAAGUUUCAGUGCCCGUAGCGGAUAGAUGUCGUUUGGACACUGUUGACCACAAUUGACUAUCGUUGACCAAUGGACCGUUGACUUGGCUGACUAUGCUGGGUUCGAUUCCUGCGCUGGGCGAUAUUGCCAGGGCUAGGGUUCUUCGAUGGGGCUCAAGCUGCGAGCAGUGCCGAUCACGGAGGAUAAUUUCCGGCCUUGGCCAGCUCCUGGGAAAGAUCGGCGACGGAUGCGAGUAUGGAUCGGGAGACGCGCAGCUCAAUCUCGCGAAUGGGAUUCCCAGGUAGUGCAGGCAAAAUGUGGCCGAAAUUUCCAGCGGCUCGGUAGUGAUUGAGUGAGUGAUGGUUCCUUUGCGCAGAUUCUACCUCAUGGAGCUCAAGAAAACGGGGCUGCGAUUCAAAAGGAUAACGCAUCACGCCAGGGUCACGCAGUGUCUGGGAUCAGUGGGAGCUCAUCCUUGGUACAUGGCGGUCUCUCUUCCCAGCAUUGUGGAUCCUUCAUCGCAACACGAGGGCGCUGUUCGAUCCAACGCUGGUGGCCACUCCUAUUUACCUCCCUCUCAUGCAAGCGUCCAGGUUUUCAAGAUAGAUGGUCCUCGCUUCAUCAAGCUAAACGAAGGAACUUGGCACGCUGGUCCUCUCUUUGGCGAUCGAGAUUCGAUGGUCUUCUACAACUUGGAGCUCAGUGACACCAACGUAAAAUCAUUCGAUCGAGCUUGUAGUUACCAUGACUUAUGUUUUCUCCUUUUUCUUGUUGCAGGUUGUGGAUCACACUACCCACGUGUUUGAGGACGACGUAC